Molecule: ribosomal RNA, 253 nt
Filed under: uncultured bacterium
Lineage: Bacteria
Description: partial 16S ribosomal RNA
Rfam family: Bacterial small subunit ribosomal RNA
Source: RNAcentral
UACAGAGGGGGCAAGCGUUAUUCGGAAUUAUUGGGCGUAAAGAGCGCGCAGGCGGUCGUUCAAGUCGCGUGUGAAAGCCCCCGGCUCAACUGGGGAGGGUCACGCGAUACUGAUCGACUCGAAGGCAGGAGAGGGUAGUGGAAUUCCCGGUGUAGUGGUGAAAUGCGUAGAUAUCGGGAGGAACACCAGUGGCGAAGGCGACUACCUGGCCUGUUCUUGACGCUGAGGCGCGAAAGCUAGGGGAGCAAACGGG